RNAcentral lists this ribosomal RNA (270 nucleotides) under uncultured bacterium. RNAcentral's name for it is "partial 16S ribosomal RNA". It matches the Rfam family "Bacterial small subunit ribosomal RNA", at positions 28 to 295 of the family's 1533-position model. The record is from RNAcentral.
GAUGAACGCUAGCGGCAGGCCUAAUACAUGCAAGACGAACGGUAAGUGGUGUAGCAAUAUAUCACCAAGAGUGUCGUAAGGGUGCGUAACACGUAUGCAAUCUGCCCUCAACAGGAGGAUAGCUCCCCGAAAGGGGAAUUAACACUCCAUAAUACCACAAGAAGGCAUCUGAAGGUGGUUAAAACUACGGUGGUUGAGGAUGAGCAUGCGGAUGAUUAGCUAGUUGGCGGUGUAACGGACCACCAAGGCGAUGAUCAAUAGGGGAACUGA